This 150-nucleotide ribosomal RNA is filed under the name Trebouxia sp. T127. RNAcentral describes it as "5.8S ribosomal RNA". It matches the Rfam family "5.8S ribosomal RNA". Rfam says of the family: 5.8S ribosomal RNA (5.8S rRNA) is a component of the large subunit of the eukaryotic ribosome. Lineage: Eukaryota; Viridiplantae; Chlorophyta; Trebouxiophyceae; Trebouxiales; Trebouxiaceae. The record is from RNAcentral.
AACUCUCAACAACGGAUAUCUUGGCUCCCGUAACGAUGAAGAACGCAGCGAAAUGCGAUACGUAGUGUGAAUUGCAGAAUUCCGUGAACCAUCGAAUCUUUGAACGCAAAUUGCGCUUGAGGCUUCGGCCAAGAGCAUGUCUGGCUCAGC